Long non-coding RNA from Macaca mulatta (Rhesus monkey), 372 nucleotides. RefSeq lists it as uncharacterized. The record is from RefSeq and is a predicted model, not a curated record. NCBI's taxonomy places the organism in Eukaryota, Metazoa, Chordata, Mammalia, Primates, Cercopithecidae.
GGUCCCAUCAGCGCCGCCCGCCUGGCACCUCCUCCGGUGUGCGGGGCUCACCUGAGCCAUGGGAGCACAUCUGAGCUACCGUAGGUCAGCGCGGGAGGAGGAGGUCACAGGCAACAGGACGCCGAGCACCGCAGCUUAGAAAGUGAGACAUAUUUCUCCAUGGCAGGAACUUUGUUGUCCAGCUUCAAUGCUCCCAUUUGGAUUCAAGCUCGCAGACUGUGCGCUACGCUGUGUGCAGAGAUGCGCCCAUAGCUCUGGGGAAACAAUAUGGCACUGGCAGGUUGAAGGCAGAAAGCACAUCUGAAGCCGGAAGAAAUGCUGUCUGAACAAUUUGUUCAUCCAUUCAUUAAAAAAUGUAUCGAUCAUCUAUUA